UUCUGCUCUCAGAUCCAAAGUCUCCCUGGCCCUUCCUCCGACUUCCCAACUGAAUCGAGGAACCCUGGGGCCGCAGACCCAGUGGACCCAGGAGAGGUGGUGGAGACCAAGGAUGUGAUUUGCAAGUUCCCAGGGCAGCGGCUCAGCUGGUGGGAAGCCCAAGAAUCCUGCGAACAGCGCUUUGGCCACCUGGCCCUGGGGCCUCCCGAUGAAGUUCUUGUUCCACAGCUGCGUGACGCAGUCUGGUUGGGCCAAAGAGAAACCAUUCUGCGGAGACCCCCUCGGAGGCGUGAGUGGGGGCCUGGGGUGAGGCGGGGGCUCUGGGGCCCUUCAGAGACGGGAGCCCACGAUGACAAUCCUUGUGGAAAGCACUCAAAGUAACACUUCGCUGUAGCUCUAGGUUCCCUUGCCUGGACUGGAAGUAGGGGUUGUCCUUUGGGCAGGGAACCUAGUACCCUCGUUUCUUCUUUUCCCGAGGCGGGAGGCACCCCAAAUCCCAGGAGGGGCACCACAGC
This 515-nucleotide long non-coding RNA is filed under the name Fukomys damarensis (Damara mole-rat). RNAcentral's name for it is "lncRNA (ENSFDAG00000026108.1)". Lineage: Eukaryota; Metazoa; Chordata; Mammalia; Rodentia; Bathyergidae. The record is from RNAcentral.